CAGGGAGACAACAAAAUGUUUAAUAUUAUUAUUUUGUCACCUUAGGUCGAUCGGUAUCUCACGUUCUUAAUUUGUUAAGAAUUUCAUUUCCUAAGUUUUUCUAGGUCACACCCAUUAUUUUUCCUGGGCCAUUAGCUCAGGUGGUUAGAGCGCACCCCUGAUAAGGGUGAGGUCCCUGGUUCAAGUCCAGGAUGGCCCAUAUCUCUAUGUUGGGGGUAUAGCUCAGUUGGUAGAGCGCCUGCUUUGCAAGCAGGAUGUCAGCGGUUCGAGUCCGCUUACCUCCACUGAUUACCACCUCUUCCAUAACUGGUAAAAAGGAAAUGUUUUGAGUUGUGAUUAUUAUUCUGAACGAAUCUAGCUUCCUAAUGAAAUCAUUAAGAUGCUGGACUCAUUGAAUUAAUUUCAUUGUUUUCAGAGAACCUUGACAACUGCAUAGAAUUUUUUAAAGACAAUAAGCAUCUUUAAUGAUGCAGAUUUAUUAUUUGUGCGAAUGCAUUAAUAACAAUUCUAUUAAGCUGAUGCUUCAAUUUUUGAAGUUAUU
Molecule: transfer RNA, 541 nt
Filed under: uncultured Prochlorococcus sp.
Lineage: Bacteria; Bacillati; Cyanobacteriota; Cyanophyceae; Synechococcales; Prochlorococcaceae
Description: partial 16S-23S ribosomal RNA intergenic spacer
Rfam family: tRNA (bases 212-284)
Source: RNAcentral